UGAAGAAGUAUUUCGGUAUGUAAAGCUCUAUCAGCAGGGAAGAAAGACUCGUAAGAGAGAUGACGGUACCCGACUAAGAAGCCCCGGCUAACUACGUGCCAGCAGCCGCGGUAAUACGUAGGGGGCAAGCGUUAUCCGGAUUUACUGGGUGUAAAGGGGGCGCAGACGGUCAAGCAAGUCUGAAGUGAAACCCCACGGCUCAACCGUGGGCUUGCUUUGGAAACUGUUUGACUAGAGUACUGGAGAGGUAAGCGGAAUUCCUAGUGUAGCGGUGAAAUGCGUAGAUAUUAGGAGGAACAUCGGUGGCGAAGGCGGCUUACUGGACAGCAACUGACGUUGAGGCUCGAAGGCGUGGGGAGCAAACAGGAUUAGAUACCCUGGUAGUCCACGCGGUAAACGAUGAAUACUAGGUGUUGG
Molecule: ribosomal RNA, 417 nt
Filed under: uncultured Lachnospiraceae bacterium
Lineage: Bacteria; Bacillati; Bacillota; Clostridia; Lachnospirales; Lachnospiraceae
Description: bacterial SSU rRNA
Rfam family: Bacterial small subunit ribosomal RNA
Source: RNAcentral